RNAcentral lists this ribosomal RNA (476 nucleotides) under uncultured bacterium. RNAcentral describes it as "partial 16S ribosomal RNA". It matches the Rfam family "Bacterial small subunit ribosomal RNA", at positions 28 to 505 of the family's 1533-position model. The record is from RNAcentral.
GAUGAACGCUGGCGGCGUGCUUAACACAUGCAAGUCGAACGGGAAACCUUUUAUUGAAGCUUCGGCAGAUUUAGCUGGGUUCUAGUGGCGGCCGGGUGAGUAACGCGUGGGUAACCUGCCUUAUACAGGGGGAUAACAACCAGAAAUGGUUGCUAAUACCGCAUAAGCGCACAGGACCGCAUGGUCCGGUGUGAAAAACUCUGGUGGUAUAAGAUGGACCCGCGUUGGAUUAGCUUGUUGGUAGGGUAACGGCCUACCAAGGCGACGAUCCAUAGCCGGCCUGAGAGAGUGAACGGCCACAUAGGGACUGAGACACGGCGCAGACUCCUGCGAGAGGCAGAAGUGGGGAAUAGUGCACAAUGGUGGAAACCCUAAUGCAGCGGCGCCGAGAGAAGGAAGAUGUAGCUCGGUAUGUAAACUUCUAUCAGCAGGGAAGAUAGAGGCUGCACCUGACGAAGAAGCCCCGGCUAACUACG